UACAGAGGGUGCGAGCGUUACUCGGAAUUACUGGGCGUAAAGCGCACGUAGGUGGCGACGUAAGUCGGGUGUGAAAGCCCCGGGCUCAACCUGGGAAUUGCAUUCGAGACUGCAUUGCUGGAGUACGGAAGAGGAAGGCGGAAUUCCCGGUGUAGCGGUGAAAUGCGUAGAUAUCGGGAGGAACAUCAGUGGCGAAGGCGGCCUUCUGGUCCAGUACUGACACUCAAGUGCGAAAGCGUGGGGAGCAAACAGG
Molecule: ribosomal RNA, 253 nt
Filed under: uncultured bacterium
Lineage: Bacteria
Description: partial 16S ribosomal RNA
Rfam family: Bacterial small subunit ribosomal RNA
Source: RNAcentral